UGGAAAAGGAGCAGAAGUAAUUCCCUGAACCUGGAGAAAGUAAUUCGUAUGUGUCUUCUCAUUUGGGGGAAGGGCAAGAAUGUCACUUUUAAGGAUAGAUAUGUCUUGAUAGUAGGAAUUUAACUACUAGGGAAGUUCAAAUACGUGGAGAACGGUGCAUAUGGAAGCUGAGUAGGGAAAAAGACGGACUCUGUUAUCUAGUUUUUGGCUUUUAGCUCCACAUUAUCCUUCACUACCUGUUCUGUGAUAACGGACUGGCCUCUUUAGCAUCUCUCCCUGACAGUGAGCAUGAUGGCAAGCUCUGUCCAGUAGAGGGCACUGGAGGGACACAGAAGGAAGGAAAGGGCUUUUCUUCCCAGCUCCGGUGAGCUCUGGUUUGCUGUUCUUUGCUUCUGCACCUUGAUCUGUUUGCAGUGCAAGUGCAUGGGGACGUCAGGUGGUGCUCUGCUCCAGCUGCACACCAAGAGCAGGCACUCCCUGGGCAGCCUCGAGUUACUGGUCCAGGCCCAGCGACCACUUUGCUGUGGGUCUGCCUGUCAAGGAUACUGCAUACUUCAGGCCUUGCACCUGUGGCAAUGCAACUUCCUAACUCUACACCUGCUGCCUCAGCCUUGUUUUCUUAUGCCUUGGACAGUUUUUUUCCCCCAAAUCCCUCCAGUCACGGACGCCAGUGUACCCACAGCAGUGCCCCAGCUCCCGCCCUCAGCUCAUCAACCUUGGCGUUCUCCCCAGAGGGUCGAUCUCCAUGAUCUUCCAUGCCCUGUGGGGACAUCACACAAUCCAGUCCUCAUGCACAGAGAGCUCCAACUCUUUUGGUGUACUUGCCCACUAGUCUUGGCUCACCUGUGUGGAGUUCCUGACAAGAGCUUUAUCAACCAGAAGCAACUCCAUCCUACUAAAAGUCUCUCAGUGCUUUUAAAGUGUUUACUUUCUUUCUCUGAACUUUGAAAGCUGACUGUCCCCAAGAAAUCAAUUUACAUCCCAUCUUAAAAACAUUCCUACUGCUAAGUGAAAAAACCCCAACUAUUUUAUGACAUAUUCCCCACAAUUACAACUGUGUGUAAAAUAUAUGUGCAUACUCUUGUCCCUUGGUAUCUGCUGCGGAUUGGUUCCAGGACUCCCGCAGGUACCAAACUCCAAGGAUGCUCAAGUCCCUUAUAAGAAAUGGCAAUGGCACAGCACUGCCUAGGCCUAUAGCCUGUGCACGUGCCCCCGUACACAGUGCAACCUCGAUCCUUGAACUCAAUGCAUUCCAGAAAACGGGUAGAGAAGUGAUUUGCUCACAAACAGAAUCUCCUCUGUCACCCGAGGGACAGGUGACUGCUCAUACAGGUGUCAGCACGAGAGGGCUGUUGAGGAGAGAACUGAGAACCAGAGUUUUGUUGGACCACUAAGGCCUUUCUCCCCAUGAACUGCUUGGUCCAGAACUGCUUGGUUCCAGAACCAAGGCUUUCAAGAACUGAGGUUUGACUGUACUUGGUAUCAUUUCUAGAUUACUUAGGUAUAAUACCUAAUGCAAUGCAAAUGCUAUGUAAACAGUUGAUAUACCGUAUCGUGAAGGGAAUAAUGACAAGGAAAAGAGUCUGUACGUGUUCGGUCCAGACAACCAUGUCAGCCUCACCACAUAGCACGCAUCAGCAACAGCGGGUCUUUUUUCCAAAUAUUUUCCAUCUGCAGGUUUUGAACCUGUGGAUGCGGAACCCAUGGAUAUGGAGGACUGACUGUAUUCGAGGACCUGGAAUGAAUGAGUGGGGUAGGAUUGUGGCAACUUUUUUGGUAAAAAAUGUUUCCGAAAUAUUACUUCUGUAAGAAGUAUGUAAGUCAAUGUGGAUUGUGGAGGAGAGGAGGGAGAAGAAACUCAGUGGUUGAGAUACAGCAGUGGGAAAAUGAACUGCAUAAAUCUUUUUACAGCUUGGAUCUUGUGCAACGCAGACCUGUUAACGGCUAAGAAAAAUAAGCACAUGUACACACACAAAUAUCUCAGAGACUCACAGGGCCACAAAGAGCCCCGAGCACUGCGAGGAGACGGGUAUUGGGCUGUCCUCACCAGCUGCGAAACCGCAGAGAACCAUCCAGCCCUGGUUUAUCUGGAGGCACAGAAAACGGCCUUCCAGGGAUAUCAGUGAGCAAAGGGGAUUAGAAUACUCCUGCAAGAGCCUUUAUGAAAAGACUCAAAAUUGGGCUAUUGAUUGUCUUUCUUUUUUUUUUUUUCUUCAACAGAUGAAGGGAUAGUAGGUAGAUGGUGGCUUUGUUAGGACUUUACAGAUCAUUUGUUCUGAUUAUAGGAUAUGGAUCUUAGACAUUUUAUUUGAACCUUUUCUUUUAAAGUAUCUGUUAAGAUCUUGGCAGCACAGCAGAUCAUUACCUAUGAUCCUCUUUCCCCAGAACUUUCAGCUUUCAAACCAGGGAUCAGCAUACUAUGGCCUGGGGAAAAUCUAGCCUGUUCUUGUACCUGAGCCGGAAUUAGCUUAGCUUUAUACCCUUCUGCUAAGAAUAGAAUGAUCUUUUUACAUCAUCGAGAAAAAUAAAAAUUAUUAUUAUUA
Phyllostomus discolor (pale spear-nosed bat) is the source of this 2543-nucleotide long non-coding RNA. RefSeq lists it as uncharacterized. The transcript is spliced from 2 exons. NCBI's taxonomy places the organism in Eukaryota, Metazoa, Chordata, Mammalia, Chiroptera, Phyllostomidae. The record is from RefSeq and is a predicted model, not a curated record.